Molecule: unclassified non-coding RNA, 391 nt
Filed under: soil metagenome
Description: partial contains 5.8S ribosomal RNA, internal transcribed spacer 2, and large subunit ribosomal RNA
Rfam family: 5.8S ribosomal RNA (bases 1-122)
Source: RNAcentral
GAUGAAGAACGCAGCGAAAUGCGAUACUUGGUGUGAAUUGCAGAAUCCCGUGAACCAUCGAGUCUUUGAACGCAAGUUGCGCCCGAAGCCACUAGGCCGAGGGCACGCCUGCCUGGGCGUCACACGCCGUUGCCCCCCCAUCUACUCCUUCGGGAUUGCGGGGGGGCGGAUGAUGGCCUCCUGUGCGCCUAGCCGCGCGGUUGGCAUAAAUACCAAGUCCACGGCGACGCACGCCACGACAAUCGGUGGUUGCGAAACCUCGGUUGCCCGUCGUGUGCGUUCGUCGCGCAUCGAGGGCUCGAAAAAAUGCUCGGCUCCGGCUGGGCUUUCAACGCGACCCCAGGUCAGGCGGGGUUACCCGCUGAAUUUAAGCAUAUCAAUAAGCGGAGGA